AACGCACGAGACCUGCGGACCUGCGGAGGGAUCAUUAACAAGUUCUCAAAGUCGGCCCCUCCUGUGCUGGUGGCAACACAUGUGCACGGUUGGGUCGCAUAUCCACACACCUGUGCAUAUCUGACUUGAAGUACCUUGCCCUCUCAUGUCGGGGGAGUCUGACAUUUGUCAAACUGGCACUCAAGUAUUUUUCACAUAAACCGAAUGUAAUGGAAUGUAUAUUGCGCAUAAUGUGCAAAU
This 240-nucleotide unclassified non-coding RNA is filed under the name soil metagenome. RNAcentral's name for it is "partial contains 5.8S ribosomal RNA, internal transcribed spacer 2, and large subunit ribosomal RNA". The record is from RNAcentral.